RNAcentral lists this transfer RNA (57 nucleotides) under Phytophthora infestans (potato late blight agent). It matches the Rfam family "tRNA", at positions 8 to 63 of the family's 71-position model. Rfam says of the family: Transfer RNA (tRNA) molecules are approximately 80 nucleotides in length. RNAcentral also lists the same sequence under 1 other name. The record is from Rfam by way of RNAcentral. Lineage: Eukaryota; Oomycota; Peronosporomycetes; Peronosporales; Peronosporaceae.
UAGCUCAGUGGUCGAGCGUUGGCUUCGAUAGCCACAGGUCGGUGGUUCGAUUCCACC